CGGCCAUGUAGAGCGGGUUCUCGUAGCGCAUGUCGAUCACGCCGGUGCCGAUCUCGAUCCGCCGGGUGCGCGCCCCGAUCGCCGCC
This 86-nucleotide transfer RNA is filed under the name Paractinoplanes ferrugineus. Its description in RNAcentral is "Actinoplanes ferrugineus tRNA-Val". The record is from RNAcentral. Lineage: Bacteria; Bacillati; Actinomycetota; Actinomycetes; Micromonosporales; Micromonosporaceae.